UGUCCAGCAACUCCUGUCCCUACCUCCACGUGGUACCGGCAGGAAGCUACGAGCAACCAUAGGGAAGAUCGGAUAAAUCAAUCCCAGUGGGAACUUUGGCUGACAGAGAAGG
Non-coding RNA from Aedes albopictus (Asian tiger mosquito), 112 nucleotides. The record is from Rfam. Lineage: Eukaryota; Metazoa; Arthropoda; Insecta; Diptera; Culicidae.